Molecule: ribosomal RNA, 451 nt
Filed under: uncultured bacterium
Lineage: Bacteria
Description: bacterial SSU rRNA
Rfam family: Bacterial small subunit ribosomal RNA
Source: RNAcentral
UUUCCAGACUCCUACGGGAGGCAGCAGUGGGGAAUAUUGGACAAUGGGGGGAACCCUGAUCCAGCGACGCCGCGUGAGUGAAGAAGUAUUUCGGUAUGUAAAGCUCUAUCAGCAGGGAAGAAGAAAUGACGGUACCUGACUAAGAAGCCCCGGCUAACUACGUGCCAGCAGCCGCGGUAAUACGUAGGGGGCAAGCGUUAUCCGGAUUUACUGGGUGUAAAGGGAGCGUAGGCGGCGAUGCAAGUCAGAAGUGAAAGCCCGGGGCUCAACUCCGGGACUGCUUUUGAAACUGUAUGGCUAGAUUGCAGGAGAGGCAAGUGGAAUUCCUAGUGUAGCGGUGAAAUGCGUAGAUAUUAGGAGGAACACCAGUGGCGAAGGCGGCUUGCUGGACUGUAAAUGACGCUGAGGCUCGAAAGCGUGGGGAGCAAACAGGAUUAGAUACCCUGGUAGA